CAGAUCUAUGCUUCAACCAUUAAAGAAAACAAAUGAUUCAUCAUGUAAUCCCAACCCUAUGAGAUUUAGCUCAUAGGUUGGCAAAUAAAAUUCAAAACCAAAAUAUCAUUCAACAUUGUUUUCAUCAAAUAAAUUCACAGAGAAAUAGCUAAGAAAUAAUAGAAGAACGACAGGAAGACAGCUUUCACGUGUCCAGUUCACACUCCAGCGACACAGUGUCCUGUGAUGGUUGAGAGGGACUGUCUUCGUCUUCCUCUUUCCGUCUCUACUCAAAUGCUACCCUCUAGUUUCGCCUAUGGAUCUUCACCCUUGUUCAUCCUUUAGGGUUUUCUCCUUUUGCUUUUUAUAACUUUUUUUCCAACAACCCAUAUUUAUCUUCUCCACUUUUUAAAUUUUUUUUCUAGAAUAAAAACCAACAUCCGAAGAUUGUCUUCUCCUCUAUUUUAGGCAAAUUUUUCGAUACAAGUACAGUUGGGCUAAAAAUAGUAUGAGUUGAGUGUUGACUCGGUCUUCUUGGAAUUGCCACGACAUUCGUGUUGGCAAACUAUCCAACCUUUUGCCACGACAAACCUUCAUUCCUUUAUUACUUUUUCCGUAUCCUGCACCUGCCAAUCACCAAACACAACCCUUCCACAUGCAAUUAGAAGUAACAAAUAUUAAUGUUAAAGAACCGUCUAAGCUUAUUAUGCAAUGUUCUAAAAAUGCUAAAAUAAUAUUCUAAAAUGCAACUAAGUUCACUUAAGUGCAGACAAGUGACCCACUCUAAAGGCAUUAAUUAUAACUCUUUUCAAGAGUUAUCAGUUUCUAUUAAAGAAGAGAGAAUUUUUAUUUUCACCCCAAAAGAAAAACUUCUUCUAAUUUUAUGUUUUGAUUCAAUUGGUUCGAGCCCAGACUUGAAGUAGUUCGUGGUAUGAGAAUAACAAAAAAGAUUGUUUGGUUAAAAGCCGAAAAACAUCAAGUAUCCACUUAUCCAAAAACAUAAGUACAAUUUCGGUGUAACGUUUAUUGCUAUAAAUAUCACAAAUCAAGUCAGUUUUCAAAAUUUUUAUUUUUUGAUGUGCAAGAAAAUCAUUUUCAAAUAGAAUUUUUCCAACAUGAAAAAUUUCAAAUCAUCCCAAAGGAGCUUCCGCUUCUGCCUAUCCAGGCUACCAUACACAAAUGAGAUAUAAAUAAUAUUGAAAGGGACAUUAUUGAGCACUCGAACAAAAAUGAAUUAAGGAUGGUUUUGAAUCACCUCUACCCGAAUAGUAUCCUUCCAACCAAGCCAAAUACCACCUGAGAAACCAAUAGCUUCAACUUAAUGAGAGUAAUGAAAACCCAAAGUGGUAAUGACAUUAUCAUUUUUUUACCAUUGAUUCUAGGCUUCAGUAAGCACACAAUAUAUGGUCUAUACUCACAAACUAUAUUCCAUGAAAACUCUACCAAAUUUGGAACUAGCACAUCUGUGAUAGUUCUACGAGAAAAUGGUUAAAUUCAAAUCCAUAAAAACGGGAAAAGAGAGAUAAACCUCACUGUCUAGGAUUCUUUAGACUAACAUUUUGUUCUCCCACCCCAGUUGAAUUACUUGUACCAACAUCCACUGCAAAUUGAGAGGCAAAAAAUUCAGCCAUAGUAUUCAAAGAUUCAGAUAAUGGGGCGCAUGGGCUGCCAGAUGUCUUAAAAUGACUCCCUUGAUAAUGAAUUAUUUUAUAGAAUUUUUACCGUGUCGACCAACCUCCAGUUUUUCCCUCGAACCAUGCCCAAAACUCCGAAAAGAAUCCCUACCUGAGCCCAUCAUCGACUCUCCAUCUAUCGAAUCACAAAUAUUUGGUUUUUUUUGUGUUUUCCUUAAAGAUAAUUGAAGUGUGUUUCCCAAGUUCAAGACCACCCUCCAAAAUCUAAACCACAAACUCUACCGGCCCCUCAAAAGUAAGAUUAGAAUGAGUUGUCCUCAAUUGAAUACUAGAAAUCAAACUAACUCCAGCUCUCACUAUCGGAGCAUCACCAACCGUACUGGGUAAUUCUUCCCCAACGAUUUCCUCAACAUCCACUAGCUGGGCUUGAUGACUCCUACCAGCCUUCACAACUUAAUCCAACAAAGAUGGAUUCUCUCCCUCAAGAGCAGCACUCAACCCAAAAUUUUGGCCUGGUUGCUUGUCCAA
Molecule: long non-coding RNA, 2141 nt
Filed under: Gossypium barbadense (sea-island cotton)
Lineage: Eukaryota; Viridiplantae; Streptophyta; Magnoliopsida; Malvales; Malvaceae
Description: long non-coding RNA (GBAR_LNC019835)
Source: RNAcentral